This is a long non-coding RNA of Triticum dicoccoides, 345 nucleotides long. RefSeq lists it as uncharacterized. The transcript has 4 exons. The record is from RefSeq and is a predicted model, not a curated record. Lineage: Eukaryota; Viridiplantae; Streptophyta; Magnoliopsida; Poales; Poaceae.
CUCGGCCCCAGCAUCUUCUGUUGAACGGACAUGCCGCCUCUUUGGCGUCGGCUACAUGAGAGCCAUGGAUCAAUGAUGCCGACCUCCUUGCAGAGUUGUGCCAGAUUCCAAAUGAUGACCUACUCGUGCAGUUGUGAUAGGCCAAAUAAAAGAUGUUCUCGGUGGAGUUGCACUUGAGGAUGAGCACAGAGAGAAAUUUAAUCAAAUCCAAAAGGAAAGCUGUGAGUAGACGUCAACGAUGCCUACUUGUUUGGCUGCUACAGUGAUGCAUGCGCCGGUCAAGCAAGCACACAUGCAUAUACGUUCCUACUAUAUUCCUGCUAUAUACGUACAUGUGUAAAUGUA